RNAcentral lists this ribosomal RNA (87 nucleotides) under Ratibida columnifera. Its description in RNAcentral is "partial 5.8S ribosomal RNA". It matches the Rfam family "5.8S ribosomal RNA", at positions 73 to 154 of the family's 154-position model. Rfam says of the family: 5.8S ribosomal RNA (5.8S rRNA) is a component of the large subunit of the eukaryotic ribosome. The record is from RNAcentral. Lineage: Eukaryota; Viridiplantae; Streptophyta; Magnoliopsida; Asterales; Asteraceae.
UGCAGAAUCCCGUGAACCAUCGAGUUUUUGAACGCAAGUUGCGCCCGAGGCCAUCUGGUUGAGGGCACGUCUGCCUGGGCGUCACGC